Molecule: ribosomal RNA, 342 nt
Filed under: Phrynobatrachus manengoubensis (Manengouba river frog)
Lineage: Eukaryota; Metazoa; Chordata; Amphibia; Anura; Phrynobatrachidae
Description: partial 16S ribosomal RNA
Rfam family: Bacterial large subunit ribosomal RNA
Source: RNAcentral
UCACGAGGGCUAGACUGUCUCCCCUCUCUAAUCAGUGAAUCUGACUUCUUCGUGAAGAGGCGAAGAUACUUAUAUAAGACGAGAAGACCCCAUGGAGCUUAAAACCAAACAACACUCUUUUGCAUACAGACCCUAAAAAAUAAAAGAUCUGUUGACUAGUUUUUGGCUGGGGCAUCCGAGGAGUACAAAACAACCUCCCUGACAAAUAUCCUAGAGUCACAACUCCAAGAAACAGCAAACUCACGUAACCUGACCCGAUACAAUAAUCGAUCAACGAACCAAGUUACCCUGGGGAUAACAGCGCAAUCCAUUUCAAGAGCUCCUAUCGACAAAUGGGUUUAC